Molecule: ribosomal RNA, 492 nt
Filed under: uncultured bacterium
Lineage: Bacteria
Description: partial 16S ribosomal RNA
Rfam family: Bacterial small subunit ribosomal RNA
Source: RNAcentral
AGUGAACGCUGGCGAUAGGCCUAACACAUGCAAGUCGAACGGCAGCACAGUAAGAGCUUGCUCUUACGGGUGGCGAGUGGCGGACGGGUGAGGAAUACAUCGGAAUCUACUUUUUCGUGGGGGUUAACGUAGGGAAACUUACGCUAAUACCGCAUACGACCUACGGGUGAAAGCAGGGGAUCUUCGGACCUUGCGCGAUUGAAUGAGCCGAUGUCGGAUUAGCUAGUUGGCGGGGUAAAGGCCCACCAAGGCGACGAUCCGUAGCUGGUCUGAGAGGAUGAUCAGACACACUGGAACUGAGACACGGUCCAGACUCCUACGGGAGGCAGCAGUGGGGAAUAUUGGACAAUGGGCGCAAGCCUGAUCCAGCCGUACCGCGUGGGUGAAGAAGGCCUUCGGGUUGUAAAGCCCUUUUGUUGGGAAAGAAAAGCAGCAGGUUAAUACCCCGCUGUUCUGACGGUACCCAAAGAAUAAGCACCGGCUAACUUCGUG